ACAUGCACAUUGUUAUUUUACCAGAUGUAUGAAUUAGAUACAGUAAAUUAUUGAAUGACUUAGCCUUCAAUUUUCAUUUACUACAUUGAAUAAUUCUGUUUGAAAACAAUGGAGGUUCCAGGAAAGAGGGAAAUAGAUAAUUUUUCUUGCAAACCAUGUGAAGAAAGUGAUGUGUUGACUCAAGCGGAUGGAUUCUGUACGGAUUGUGAAGAGUAUAUGUGUUCGAGUUGUUUCAAUACACACAAAAAGUAUAAGCUUAAUCGAGAUCACACUUUAAUUGAUUGUAAUGUUGAAAUAACACGGAGAGAAAGUUCAAGUGAAUUUGAGAAAUGCGAGCAACACUUAAACGAAUCAGUGAAGUUUUAUUGUGCACAGCACGAGCAAGUUGGUUGCGGAGAUUGUAUGGUCAUAGGUCAUAGAUCGUGUAAGGUCGAUUAUAUUCUUGAUAAGGCAAAUGAUCUUAAAGGCACAACAGAGCUGGAGUCUUUGACCAAAGGACCGGAAAUAUGCACGACUGAAGCUAAACGAUUAUUGUCGUCAAUAAAGAACAAUAAAGUUCAAGUUGAUGAUAUCAAUGAUAAGUUCAAACAGGAAGUUAACCUGUUUUGGGAAGAGAUAACUACACAAAUUAACAACUUGAGAGAUCGUAUGCUUAAAGAAGGCAAAUGCAUAAAGGACAGAGAUAGUUUGAGUAUGACAAAGUUAGAAGGCGAAACUGAAAGUUUGAUAAGUGAUCUGAAUGUUAUAUCUGAUUUAUUUAAGUCAAAGGUGCAGAGUCCAAGUCAGCUCUUUGUCUGUUCUGUUUCACAAAAACAUAAGUUGGAUCGACUGAUGAAGCAACUUAAUGAUAUCAAAAGCAGAAACAAAAUUGAGCCUUACGAAUUCAUAAAGGAUAGCAAGAUAACUAGCACUUUAGCGAGCCUUGGUCAACUGGAGAGGCUUCAGGAAGUCGAAGAUGUAUUUGAUCAAGAAGAAAUCAUAGAACAAGGAGUUUCAAAAGAGCUGGUAAUCCUUAAAUUAUUUUGUAAAGUUCGGUCCCUUUUUUUGAUUUACAGGUUCCAUUUCUCAAACAUUAUUAUAAAAGGUUUUCAUUUUAAAAAAGGAAUAUUUGUUGUGUAUCAAUUUCUUUGUUUAAUUUUUUGUUAUAGUGCAUUCCUCAAAUUAUAUCAAAGGUGUUCUUUUAAAACGUAUUUAAUGUUAAGGUUAGAUUAAACUUGAAAUAUUGCUUUACCACCAAAAACAGUUACGUCAAGCCUUUUAGCAAAAACACACAAUUAUGAAGAUGCGAUAAUAAAUGUAGAGUUUGUAUCUUAGUAUUUUUAAAUACACAUAGUCGAAAACAUUUUUUUCUUUGUAGACGGUUUCAACACCAUUACUAGAAAGGCAGUUGAUAUGUAGACAUGUGAAAGUGGAUGGCGAAUAUCUCACUUAUGCAGACAAUGAAAACGGAGAGGUUGGACUGUACGUUGACAAGAAUGCAAUAGUGGAUGGAACAUACUUCGAGAUUGAGAUAUUGAGUUUAGGACGGAGUGGAACAAUUGCUCUGGGUUUGGUGCCAUACAAUUACCCAAGAAAUAUGCAGCCUGGAUGGGGAAAGAACUCAAUAGGAUAUCAUGCCGACGAUGGCCGGCUUUAUCACGAAAGUGGAAGCGGCACGGUGUUUGGGCCGAAAUGUCUCGUUGGUGACAAGAUUGGUUGCUGGAUAAACGGAUGUCGUGUACAGCGGUAAAAACUAUUAACACGAAAAUUCAUAUCAACAUUUUAUUUCAUUAGGGGUUAAAGGAAAUCUGGCGGACUUGGGGUCAGAAUUACUGUGAAUGCUGUUUUUACAAGAAAUGGCAAAAAGGUUGGAGAACGGCAAUUUGUCUAUGGCCUCUUUCAUUUAUAUCCUGCCGUUGGGAUGCAUUCUUCUGGAGAGAAGGUCAAAUUUAUUUUUGAGGCAAAGAGGCCUGGUGUAUAAAAACCAAACUUAAUACAUAAUAGUAAUGUUAGUUGACAAGAAUGUAUUUUUAGGCGUUUACUAAAAUUGCGUCUUCUACAGUUGAAGAUUGAUGUAACGAAUUCGGUUAUUUGUUUCAAUAUUUUGAGUAGGGAGUACAUUGCAUAUCAAUUUAGGUAGAAUAUACAUGUUUUGUUCCUUGUAAAGAGAUGGUUUUGAUUUCUAAGUUAAGAUAAUAUGUUGCCAAAGCUGAUACAAGUGACAGUUUUAUAUAUAUCUUACUGUCAGACUCACUUAACUUUUCACUUGUUUUCAUUUUCUAUUCUGUGGGCCAUUUAUAUAUCCAUUGUUUCUAAAACAGAGUGUAAUGUGAAAACUUUACCUUUAUUUCAUAUAAAAUGUAUUACCUUUCAUAUCAUCCGUGUAAGUAUUCUUCUAAAUAACGAAGCUAUGGUCGCAUAUCAAUUUAAACGUCACAUUAUAUUAGUAUAGUUCAUAGAUAUGGCAGGUAUUAUGAUAGAAGACGAACUUAAGAGGAAUACUUUAUUGUGCACUUCAAUUUCUUAAUGUUUAUGAAAAUUUACAAACUUUUAAUUCGGACAAUUUUUUUUUUCAAUCAAAUACUUUUAAUUCACUUUGCAUCAAAUGAAAAGAUAUUUGGAUCCCUCAAUUAAAUAGUUAAAUAACUAUUUUUUAUUAUUAUACCCCCAAAAACGAAGUUUGGGGGGUAUAUAGGAGUCACCCGGUGGUCGGUUGGUCGGUCGGGCGGUCGGUCGGUCGGUCGGUCGGUCCAGACGUCCGUUGCAUUUUCCUUGUCCGGAGCAUAACUUGAAGACUAAUGGUUGGAAUUCAAUAUAACUACAUACAAUGGUCAAGCACAUUGAGAGGAAGUGCAGUGCACAAGAACCAUAACUCUAUCUUGACUAAUUACAGAGUUAUUGCCCUUUGUUACUUUUCCUUGUCCGGGGCAUAACUUGAAAACUACUGGUUGGAAUUCAAAACAACUUCAUACAAUUGUCAAACACAAUGAGAGGAAGUGCAGUGCACAAGAACCAUAACUCUAUCUUGACUAAUUACAGAGUAAUUGCCCUUUGUUACUUUUCCUUGUCUGCCCUCUGUUACAUUUUCCUUGUCCGGAGCAUAACUUGAAAACUACUGGUUGGAAUUCAAAACAACUUCAUACAAUUGUCAAACACAAUAAGGGGAAGUGCAGUGCACAAGAACUAUAACUCUAUCUGAAGUAAUUACAGAGUUAUUGCCCUUUGUUACUUUUCCAUUGCUUUCUUUUGUCCGGACCAUAACUUGAAGACUAAUUGUUGGAAUUCAAUAUAACUACAUACACUGGUCAAGCACAUUGAGAGGAAGUGCAGUGCACAAGAACCAUAACUCUAUCUUGACUAAUUACAGAGUUGUUGCCCUUUGUUACUUUUCCUUGUCCGGGGCAUAACUUGAAAACUACUGGUUGGAAUUCAAAACAACUUCAUACAAUGGUCAAACACAAUGAGAGGAAGUGCAGUGCACAAGAACCCUAACUCUAUCUUGACUAAUUACAGAGUUAUUGCCCUUUGUGACUUUUCCUUGUCU
This is an RNA transcript of Ruditapes philippinarum (Manila clam), 3523 nucleotides long. It is a transcript of the gene named SPRY domain-containing protein 3-like, with no coding region annotated. Lineage: Eukaryota; Metazoa; Mollusca; Bivalvia; Venerida; Veneridae. The transcript has 7 exons. The record is from RefSeq and is a predicted model, not a curated record.